GCCAGGCAUGGUGGCACAUGCCUGUAAUCCCAGAAAUUGAGAGGCUGAGGCAGGAGGAUUUCGAGUUUAAAGCCAGCCUCAAUAGAUUAGUGAGGUACUUAGCAACUCAGUGAGACCCUGUCUCUA
This 126-nucleotide small RNA is filed under the name Marmota monax (woodchuck). The record is from RNAcentral. Lineage: Eukaryota; Metazoa; Chordata; Mammalia; Rodentia; Sciuridae.